Sapajus apella (tufted capuchin) is the source of this 4192-nucleotide long non-coding RNA. RefSeq lists it as uncharacterized. NCBI's taxonomy places the organism in Eukaryota, Metazoa, Chordata, Mammalia, Primates, Cebidae. The record is from RefSeq and is a predicted model, not a curated record. The transcript is spliced from 6 exons.
CCGAAGGGGCAGAGUUUUCCUCAGUUUGGAUCUAAGCCUCGGGGACAAAAAUAAAGUGCUUCCAUCCCCAGCCAAUCCCAGGAAAGGCAGAAGGGCAAUCCUCCAAUGGGAGCCGGGGAGCCGUCCGUAGCGGCGUAGGCCCGUUCCCCCGCUCGCGCUCCAGCCCGCGGAAAGGUCGCGUUCAGUGUAUCUUCCAGUUAAUGCUGCAAGCCCCUCUUAUCAAUGCGCUCGCGCGGCGGCUGCGGCGGCGGCGGCGGCGGCGCCUGCGUCGGCUGCGUCGGCUGCGUCGGGAGCGUUUGCGCCGACGCUGAUGGCCGGAGGUGUAAGGUCAACUGGUUGCGGAGGAUCGUGCGGGUAGCAAAGAGAGGCCGAGUAGUCCUGCGGCUCUCAGCCGGCAACCAAUUACUUCCUCUGUUGAAGUCUUGAACCCCUGAAAGUCAUCCCUGAGGGUUGGAGUUAACUUCUUCUACACUCCUGUUAAUGUUGAUGUUUUGACCUCCUCUCAUGCAUCACAAAUGUUCUUAAUGACAUCUAGAAUGGUUUGGGGAAAGUCUCAGCCUCAGUAACCAUCCCAGACACAGUCCAGAGGAUAUGAGCAGGCGGAGUGGGUCAUACGGAAAACAGGGCUGUUGCUGCCAUGGACUGAGGCAGGCUGGCCACCCAGAGGCUACAGGAUCAAGUCUUUUUGAUAGGUAGGUGACCGGCCUGGACCAUGGUCCUGAUGUCUGGGUGAGCACCCCCUUCGCGAUUCCUUGUGUUUCAUAUACAAACAACCAGAAGGGUUUACAAAUAUCUGGCAAGGCCAGGACUGGGGCCGAGGUCAGAGCAACUUUAUCAAAAGCCUGUUGUUCUACUACUAUCCAAAUUAGGGGUUGAUUCCCUCCUCUGCAGGCAUACAGAGGCCUGGCUGUUUUGGCAAAACCUAAAAUCCAUAGCCUACAGAACCCUACUGCCCCCAGGAACUCCUGAACUUGGUGUUUUGUGGUAGGGGUGGGUAUCUGUAGUACUGCUUAGACUCGGCUGGUUGCCAGCGCCCGGUUGCCCUUUUUAAUUAUAUAGCCCAGGUAAGUAACCUUUUGUUGACAGAGUUGGGCCUUUUUGGCAGAGACUCGAUAUCCCAGAGUUUGUAGGGUCAACAGUAAUGACUGGGUGGCUUCCCUGCAGGCCUCUUGGGUUCUUGAGGCCAGAAGUAAGUCAUCUGUGUAUUAGAGCAGAGUACAUUCAGGGAACUCGGCCCGGAAGGUGGCAAGAUCCUGGCUAAGUGCUUCAUCAAAUAGGGUGGGAGAGUUCUUGAAUGCCUGAGGCAGCCGGGUCCAUGUGAGUUGCCCCAGGACCCCAGUGUCCAGGUCCGUCCACUCAAAGGCAAAUAUGGGUCUGCUGACUGGGGCCAGUGGGAUGCAAAAGAAUGCAUCCUUGAGGUCCAGGACAAUAUAGUAAUGGUGGUUCGGAUUCAGGAGGCUUAGGAGGGUAUAUGGAUUUGGGACCGUGGGGUGGACAGUUUCCACUCUUUUAUUUACUUCCCUUAAGUCCUGUACUGACUGGUAAUCCUUUGUGCUAGGUUUUAGAACAGGGAGCAGAGGGGUGUUCCAGAGUGACUUACAGGUAGGUGGUGAGAAUUCCUCCUUCCAGGAAUUGUUAUGUCUUGUUAUAUGCGGAGCGAUUUCCCCGCCUGGCUUCCUGACUCACUGGGUAUUGUCAUACCUGGACCAGAGCUGCCAUCGCCAACAUUUGGACCACAACCAGGGUAUGGUGUUCUGCCAGACCUGGGGGAUUGGUCUCAGCCCACACUCCAGGGCAAUACAGCUCUGGAUUCUCCCAAAUAUUUAACCCCUGCAGCAAAGAGAAAUUGAGGAAAUACAACAAGCUAUCUCUCAAAGGCAACUAGAUCACAUCCAUCCACUGUAUUCAAUUGUUUGUUUUUUCCACCAAACACUCCCUUACAGAGUUAAUAGGAUAGAUGACCCCAGAACUGUUCUUUCUAGAAUGAGUUUUUUGCUCACCUACCGGGACUAAAACAUUAUCUCCCUAUAUCCAGUUAAUCAGUAAAGUCAUGUAUUCAGGCUGUAGACGAUGCAAUGUUUCUAGGUUAUGAUCCUGAUAUCAUCAGGAUUCCUUUGAGUAAAAAGCUAUUCGAAGCAGCUUUGCCCCUAUAAUUAGAUUGGCAAAUAGCACUCUCCAAUUACACAGGUCAAAUAGAGAAUGCCCUUCCUGCUGAUAAACUCCUUUAGUUCUUAUCUCAUAUUUUUGAUAAUCUUACCUACAAAAAUAGUUCACUCCCCCAUACUUAAUGCUUUAACACUGUUUAAUGAUGGUUUGGGUAAACAUGGAAAAGCUGCAGUCUGGUGGAGACCACAUAAUUUUCUCAUUGACCUGGACUCAGCUGAGAUUGGGGCCCUGAUAUUGGCCUUGGAAACUUUUUCCACUCUGCCAAUUAACAUUGUUAGUGACUCUGCUUACUCUGUUUUGCAGAACCUUCAAACAUCCCUCAUAAACUCUACGCCUGAGCCCACCCUGUGUGCACUUUUUCUUCAACUUCAGCAAUUGCUGGAUCAAUGCACACAUCCUAUUUUUAUCACACAUAUUUGAGCCCACUGCUCACUGCCUGGCCCAUUGGCUUAUGGCAGUGAACAAGCAGAACUUCAGGUUAUCACUGCUUCAGGUUAUCACAUCACUGCUUGACCAAGCCACCCAGUUGCAUCAGUUUUUCCACCAAAAUUGGAGAAACUUAUCUAAACAGUUUCAACUUACUCAAAGAAUAGCUAAACAUAUUAUCUUACAAUUCCCAGAUUGCCAGCUAACAGGCACAUUCCCUCCUUCAACAGGUGUUAACCCUAGAGGACUAGAACCUAAUCAGUUAUGGCAAAUAGAUAUUACAUACAUCCCUGAAUUUAGAAAACAGAUAUGUACAUGUAUUCAUUGCUACCAGUUCACAUUUAAUUAGCACUCAUGCUUUUCCUGGAGAGUCCAUCUAAUAUGUUAUUAAGCAUCUUCUUUUAACUUUUGCAUUUAUGGGGCAGCCCACAAAAAUGAAAACUGAUAAUGGUCCGACUUACUAUGCCAGCUCACAAUUUCAACAAUUUUAUCACACAUGGAACAUCCAACAUUCCACAAGGCAUCCCAUAUGACCCCCAAGGACAGGCCAUAGUAGAAUGUGCCCACUCCACCCUUAAAAAUAUGCUCAAAACACAAAAGGGGAGUAUGGGUAAGGACCGUGCAAGACUAUUGGAACAAGCCUUAUAUACCUUUAAUUUUUAAAAUUUAGAUGAUAAAUUUCAAUCAGCUGUAGAAAAGCAAUUUGCUAAAACCUCUGAAGACAUAAAACCUGCAGUUUUAUGGAAAGAUGUAAACAGUAAUGUAUGAUGUGGUCCAAAUUAUUUACUAACAUGGGGAGGAGGAUAUGCUUGUGUUCAGACCCCGUCAUUUCCUCUUUGGAUUCCAGCAUGAUGCAUCAAACCAUACCAUAGCACGGGUAGGACCCAGCCUGGUACCAGAAAUGAAGAAACUGACCUGAGAGCACCUGAUAUUCCCAGGUGGUCUCCCAUCCAAGUACUAACCAGACCCGACCGUGCUUAGCUUCCAAGAUCAGACAGAAACAGAAAGAUUGGAGAGAGAAAUAGAGGGAAUGAGUAAGCAACAGCCUAGAAGAGACAGAGAUGAGAGACACAAAAAGUAAGACAAAGGAGAGAAAGUAGAAGAGAAAGAAAUAUUAAAGUUAUAGGUAUAAGAAUGCACCUUUAGUAAGGAAGCUUAUAAAACACUGAAAAGGCGUGUUGAAGAUUGCGAAAGUCAUGAAAAAUGUUCAAGAAAUGUGUAAUUUUUGUUUCGAAGGUCUAAGCAAGUUUUAAAAUGUUAAUUAGAGAAAUUCUAUGUGUAAACAUAUUAAGUUAAAGAAGUAUUAUCCAGUUCUUCUGUAAACUAAACAUUAAAGCAUAACAGGUUUUUCUUAAAGCACUAACUGACUCUUUAACAAAGAUUAUAACAGUUCUCUUAGCACAGGCACCACCCCUAGAAUUUCCAGUACACCACCACCAGCUUGGAGACUACGUCCUCAUCAAAGGAUGGAAAGAAGAAAAAACUGAAGCCAUGAUAGGAAAGACCCUACAGGACCCAUAGCCCCAGAAAAUGUGGUUUCCAUGAACAACGCAAGCCCUGGACAUUACCUGGGGGAUGCUGAAGAAGAGAACUCAAAAGG